RNAcentral lists this ribosomal RNA (207 nucleotides) under uncultured bacterium. RNAcentral describes it as "partial 16S ribosomal RNA". It matches the Rfam family "Bacterial small subunit ribosomal RNA", at positions 568 to 774 of the family's 1533-position model. The record is from RNAcentral.
UCCGUAGGCGGAUCUAUAAGUCAGGGGUGAAAGUUUGCCGCUCAACGGUAAAAUUGCCUUUGAUACUGUAGGUCUUGAAUACGUGUGAAGUGGUUAGGAUGUGUAGUGUAGCGGUGAAAUGCAUAGAUAUUACACAGAAUACCGAUUGCGAAGGCGGAUCACUAACACGUCAUUGACGCUGAUGGACGAAAGCGUGGGGAGCGAACA